ACUCCUGCGGGAGGCAGCAGUGGGGAAUUUUGGACAAUGGGCGCAAGCCUGAUCCAGCCAUGCCGCGUGCGGGAAGAAGGCCUUCGGGUUGUAAACCGCUUUUGUCAGGGAAGAAAAGGUUCUGGCUAAUACCUGGGACUCAUGACGGUACCUGAAGAAUAAGCACCGGCUAACUACGUGCCAGCAGCCGCGGUAAUACGUAGGGUGCAAGCGUUAAUCGGAAUUACUGGGCGUAAAGCGUGCGCAGGCGGUUAUGCAAGACAGAGGUGAAAUCCCCGGGCUCAACCUGGGAACUGCCUUUGUGACUGCAUGGCUAGAGUACGGUAGAGGGGGAUGGAAUUCCGCGUGUAGCAGUGAAAUGCGUAGAUAUGCGGAGGAACACCGAUGGCGAAGGCAAUCCCCUGGACCUGUACUGACGCUCAUGCACGAAAGCGUGGGGAGCAAACAGGAUUAGAAACCCGGGUAGUCCCAUG
This 473-nucleotide ribosomal RNA is filed under the name uncultured organism. RNAcentral describes it as "partial 16S ribosomal RNA". It matches the Rfam family "Bacterial small subunit ribosomal RNA", at positions 335 to 799 of the family's 1533-position model. The record is from RNAcentral.